Molecule: ribosomal RNA, 253 nt
Filed under: uncultured bacterium
Lineage: Bacteria
Description: partial 16S ribosomal RNA
Rfam family: Bacterial small subunit ribosomal RNA
Source: RNAcentral
UACGUAGGGUGCAAGCGUUGUCCGGAAUUAUUGGGCGUAAAGAGCUCGUAGGUGGUUUGUCGCGUUGUUCGUGAAAACUCACAGCUCAACUGUAGGCGUGCGAGCGAUACGGGCAGACUAGAGUACUGCAGGGGAGACUGGAAUUCCUGGUGUAGCGGUGGAAUGCGCAGAUAUCAGGAGGAACACCGGUGGCGAAGGCGGGUCUCUGGGCAGUAACUGACGCUGAGGAGCGAAAGCGUGGGGAGCGAACAGG